Non-coding RNA from Pelobates cultripes (western spadefoot toad), 203 nucleotides. The record is from the annotation of a GenBank genome assembly. NCBI's taxonomy places the organism in Eukaryota, Metazoa, Chordata, Amphibia, Anura, Pelobatidae.
GUCUUAUCUAACAUGUGCUGUGGAACUGGAACCAAAUUAAGCAAGAGGGAGACCAAUAAUCCUAUACUAAACAUAAUGGAUCCAACUGGGGUUUUCCAUCCCCUUACCUAGAAAUAACAAUCUAUAAAGUUAUAUUUGGGACAGGAGUUGGCCAAGCCCCUAUUUAAAUAUAUAUAUCACAGACCCACCUAAGUGGAUUGCAG